CUGCCCUUUGCUCCCUGCAGGAAGCUCGCUCAUGGAAUUCUCGUCAGGCCCCUCUUGCUCAACGAGGCAGCUUGGCCAAUGGAGGCUCCCAAAAUCCUGCAUGGGAAGAGGGAGGGAGCGACAGGGAGCCCUUCCCCGGGCUCUGCAGCCUUGGGAAGGGUUGGAUACUUUUCCCUCAGGAUGCUCCAAGACCCCCUUUACCAGCAUCGAGACAAGUUUUGGAUGGGGAAAGCCUGGCUGGAUGCUCUGGGGGGAUCAGCAAGACCCUCCUACAUUCCCUCCCACCAACACAGGACAAAAUUUAUGAGCCUGGUGGAACUGAAAUUCUUUUUCCAACCCCAAAAUCCAUGAGGUUUUUUCCAAAGAAAAUAGAUUACAAUGGAGAAAAGCUCUCCACAGAAACUUGCUGCUUCCUGGGACAAACUUUAUAUCCCCAUAAAAAUACCAAAAGUCAACAUUU
Parus major (Great Tit) is the source of this 460-nucleotide long non-coding RNA. RefSeq lists it as uncharacterized. The transcript is spliced from 2 exons. Lineage: Eukaryota; Metazoa; Chordata; Aves; Passeriformes; Paridae. The record is from RefSeq and is a predicted model, not a curated record.